Molecule: transfer RNA, 76 nt
Filed under: Bacillus phage PBC2
Lineage: Duplodnaviria; Heunggongvirae; Uroviricota; Caudoviricetes
Description: tRNA-Gln
Source: RNAcentral
CUGCGGUGGAAGGCUUCGAACCUCCAACAUCUCCUGCUUCAAAGGCAGGCGACUUUACCAGUUUGUCCACACCGCA